Molecule: ribosomal RNA, 436 nt
Filed under: uncultured bacterium
Lineage: Bacteria
Description: bacterial SSU rRNA
Rfam family: Bacterial small subunit ribosomal RNA
Source: RNAcentral
CGCCGCGUGAAUGACGAAGGCCUUCGGGUCGUAAAGUUCUUUCGACAGGGAAGAAAAUUCCUAUAAGUAACUGUGUAUGUAUUGACGGUACCUGUAUAAGCAGCCCCGGCUAACUCCGUGCCAGCAGCCGCGGUAAUACGGAGGGGGCGAGCGUUGUUCGGAGUGACUGGGCGUAAAGAGCACGUAGGCGGUGUUGUAAGUCAUUAGUCAAAGACUAGAGCUCAACUUUAGUAAGGCUAGUGAUACUAUAAUACUAGAGUAUCAGAGAGGAUUGCAGAAUUCCUGGUGUAGCGGUGAAAUGCGUAGAUAUCAGGAGGAAUACCGUUAGCGAAGGCGGCAAUCUGGCUGGAAACUGACGCUGAGGUGCGAAAGCGUGGGUAGCAAACAGGAUUAGAUACCCUGGUAGUCCACGCUGUAAACGAUGGAUGCUAGGUGU